RNAcentral lists this long non-coding RNA (5796 nucleotides) under Marmota monax (woodchuck). Lineage: Eukaryota; Metazoa; Chordata; Mammalia; Rodentia; Sciuridae. The record is from RNAcentral.
GUUUGUUGUAAUUAUUAUGGAUAAAAAUAAAUCAGAAAGUGAUGAGAAGUAAGGAAGAGGGAGUGUUUUUUAAUUUUAGCUAGAAUGGUUAGGAAGGGACAUUUGGAAAUAUUUAAUCAGGGAGAGAAUUUCAGAGGAAUGCUGAAGCAUUUCAGGUAGAGGGCACAGUUAGUGCAAAUACCCCAAGGCAUGAGCAAGUCUGGCCUGUUUCAGGAAUAGCAAGAAUAAUGUGGCUGGAGCCUGGUGAAGAGCUGUGUGUGUGUGUGUGUGUGUGUGUGUGUGUGAAUGAAUGAAUAUAACUAAACAAGGUCCUGUUAGCUGCCACCUAAUAGAGUCAAAGAAUCAAGUGUGAGGGAGAAGGAAAGAACUUUAUUAGCAAUAAUCAGCAUUUUGAAAGAUAGUUGGUUCUUGCCUUCCAAUGAUCCUAUUACCCCUUAGGGAGAUUCUCCUUAGGGAGAAUCUUUUUUUAUGAUUUUUCAAGGGAAGAUAUAUGGGUACCAGACAGGUGGGUACCUCUGUUGUUCAGUGUUUCAAAAGUAGCCUCUUCUGGAAGGUAGGCUGUGUACUUUUUAUUCACUAUGUCGGUGGGAGUUGCAGUACAGUAGAUCCAAAGAAGGAAUCAGUGAUCAAACUUUCUGUGUUUUUGAUUAAAGUGGCAUUUGUCUGGUUUUGUUGUUGCCAUUUGUGGACAUUUGCCCUUCCCAGGUGUGACCUGUAACUUGGGACUAGGGAGUGUUUGGGGAGGGAGGACUUUAUGCAUUUCUAAUUGACUUUAGUGUGCAGUUAAUCUGUAAGAGAUCGGGCAAGAAGAAGACAAGAGAAACUUCUGAGAAUUGGGUCUUGAUGAGGUGGAAGACUAAUGUAUGCAUUCAGGUACUUAAUCUGGAGAAGAUUUAAAGUAUGCUGGAGAAUGUGUGUAGAUUAUAUGCAUAUAGUGUGCCAUUUUGUAUAAGGAAUUUGAACAUUCUCAGACUUUGGUAUCUGAGGAGGUCCUGGAACCAGUUCCCUACAUUUAGGGAGGGAUGAUUGUAGUUCUUUUUCUAUGAGACUCAAAGCUGUUUUCAUCUUAAGUGGGGAAAAAAAAUACAACCAAUAGACAAAGUUUUUCCCCCUUCAUUUUUUGGUGUACUGUCCAGAGAUUGUGGUAUGUUUCCAGGAAGAUACAUGUUCUUAGAUAUGCGUUCUUAGAUUGACCCUUCUGUGUUGUUGGCUAAGGGACCUGGGCAGCAGGUACUUUGUGAUGCAGGGCAGGAAGAGCAUGAUGUACUGGGAGUGCACAGAGAACUUGCAGUGAGGUGUGUGUGUGUGUGUGUUUUGCAGAUAGGGAAGAAGGUGCAGACUGGGCUGUAGAGGUGCUUUGGGAUAGCAAGAACUUCAGUCUGUGUAGCUGGAGCAUGCAUUCUUUAAGGCAGAAUAGAUGGGAAAUAAGGUUGAAAAAGUAGUUUGGGCCAUUCAUCAAUUUAACAAAUACAGUUGGCCCUUUGUAUCUGUGGGUCCUAUAACCAUGGAUUCAGCCAACUGCAGAUUGAAGAGGUAGCUGGUGACAGUCUUUUUUCUGCCUCAAUCUGAGCCACCCUGUGUUGGCUAAUGAUACCAGUUUUUUUGUGCAUCUCUCCUGAGACACUUUGUGAAUACAUGGAAAAUAUAUUCUUUUUUUUUUUAUUUUUUCAUUUUUUUGGUUCCAGGAAUUGAACCCAGGAGCACUUAACCACUGAGCCAUAUCCCAACCUUUUUAUAUUUUAUUUAGAGACUGGGUCUCACUAGGUUGCUUAGGGCCUCGCUAAGUUGCUGAGACUGGCUUUGAAUUCAUGUUCCUCCUGCCUCAGCCUCCCGAGCUACUGGGAUUACAGGCUUGUGCCAUUGCACCCAGCUGUAAAAUAUACUUAAUAGAUGUUUUGGUGUAUGUGGUUUGGUGAAAUCAGUUUUUAUAAGUCAAAAAAGAGAUGUUUGAGGAAUACAUUUUGCUGUGCUAUCAUUGGAAGUACUGAUAAUGAUUGGCAUAAUUUCCUACAAUUAAAUUAGUAUCUCUGCCUAUUUUCUGUUUAUACGCUAUUUGUAAAUAGGCUCAGCAAACAAAACUGAUGAAGAAAACCCCACAUUCGGCUAGUGGGCACUUUUCAGUCACAGUAUGAUGUUUCUGUCUGUAUCAAAGCUUCCCUUGAGCUAGUCAAUAACGGGAAUUAUUAAAACCUCAAUUCACCAGAGACUUGCUAGAACUUCUCUCUUAAUGAACUCCUAUUUUGAAGAAAACAUAUAUAUGGAAUUAUCUGAGACUUUAAUAGAGUUCCAGUAAAAAUCAGUGUGUGAUAAUUAGGCUGAAUUCUCAGUAUCAUAGAAAGUUCCUUCUAGAAAAAAAAUAUUCUUAGUAAACUUAAUGCCUUUUAGACUUUUAUCAAGAUACUUUUAAUCAAAAUGUGAUUUCAGAAUAAACUUAAAAUAAUCUGAACAUUUUGUAUUACCUUCAAACUUGAAUAGAAAAAGAUUCCUCUCCCUCCCCCAGAGAUCUUUACUCUUUCUUCCAUUUUUUUUCUGCCUGUGCUUUUGGACCUUCCCUUUGUAGAAACAAAUGCAGUUUUCUGUGGACUGAGUGGGGGAAGCAGAGGCAGGAAUAUUGUAACUGAUAAAUUAAUGUUCUCAAUCUUCCAGCCCCAGUGGUCUUCAGGCUUUUUUUUUUUUUUUAAAAAACCUCCUCAAAGAACAAAAAAGCGCCGACUGUGCAUUGCCUUGGGUGUUUAAGUUGACAAGUGAAUCUUGGCUUGAACUUUCUCUGAUAGAAAUUAAGGUUGUGUUUGCCUAUUUGACUUCACAAUGAGGACUGGCUUUGCCAAUUGGUUACAUGCUGAAUAUUUUUUUUUUUAAUGACCUGUAUGAGGAAAAAAAAUAUGGCUUCAAGUUUUAACAAAAUGUACAUUUUUAAAAUACAUUUAUGAAUGCCACAUGUCUCACAAAUUUCUAGACCGAUAUGUAGACAAAGCUUGGUGUUAAAAUAGAUGAGGCUUGGUGCUAUCCCAGAAACUUGUUAUCUGAAUGAAACAAAGUGCAAUCCAAGUUAGUUAUUAUCCUUCUGUGUGGUGUCCCAGAGGUUAUUUUAUACCCCAGGAAAAUGUUCCAUUGUGAGAUUCAGGAAAUAAAGUGGGAAAAGUACAAUUAUAAGGGGGGUUGGGUAGGAGAACUAGCAGUGCCACAGCAGUUCUCAGAUCUGCUUUAGGAGAGGAUAGUGGGAGCACUGAGUAGAUUCUCAAACUACCAUAACAUCUCGUGUUGUCAACUCCAUGACUCUGGAGCUUUAAUUUAAAGACACCUGCUCUAACUCAUUUCAUAGUGCUUUUAUAUUUGGCUGGACAAGUGAGAAGGUUAGAUUAUCCCUUAACUGUAUUCCGUAGAAUAUUAUAACUUUUUCUUUAGUAAUUUUCAGCAAAGGUGAGAAAUAAUGAAAACCAUGUUAGCAAGGUCUAUACCAGGACAGGCAGGGAAGGUCCUGGUGAUUAAUGGUGGUAGGGACUGAACACACAUCCAUAUUCUACCUCUACUACUUCACUUUAGAAAUCCUAUGUAAUCUUUUAAAAUAUUUAUAGACUCUAGACUUUGAGUGUUGUAACAUUAUGGCACUUAGGAGAUAGGUAAGACAGAUUCUUUUGAUAUAUAUAUAUUUUAAAGAACAGACUCAGAAUUCUUAAAUUUAAUACUUAAAACUCUGUUCCAGAAGAUCUACUUGGUAGAGUGUGUACAUUCACACAUAGGAAUGCUUAAACAUGGUUAUAGAAUGAUAGAAAUAUAAUAUUUAUGAUCAGUCGUUAUGAGAAGUAGAAGUUUUACUGAAACAAGAAUUUUGGUCAUCAUGAAUGAGUUAUAUGUGUUUCUGGAAAAUUCCAAAAUAAUAGGGCUUAUGGGAAAACAGUAUUGAGGCAGACCACUGAAAAUCUGUGCAACUUGGUAACCAAGCAAUAACAGAAACAAUAAUUGGCAUCUUGGGGGAAACAUAGAUAACUCAGGCAGGCAGCUCAGUGUGGCUGGAAGCUGCCCUAGGGGACAUUAAAAAUGCAUUGGACCAAGUUGAUUGGGAAUGUUGAUGGUAGAUGCUGAUGUAAUGCAUAGUGUGGGCUGCCACUGAGACUACACAGGAGGCAGUGCCACCAGCCAUUAACAGAGCUGUGCUGGCCUGGAGGUAUGUACCUCUCUGGAGAGGGGCCCAGGUGAAAUGCUAAUUUCUGAUUUUCUAAAACAGAAUUGAAAAGACUUCUGCCUGGACAGCAACUGAGCUGAGAGAUGUUUCCUGCUGAAUGUUAUAAAUCUUUUCCCAUUCAUCUGGCUUCCCUAGCUGAUGCAAAAUUCCAUGUGAAACAGUACAGUUCCUAUACCAUACCAGUUAUAAGUGAGCUAAUGGUGUUCCAGAAUCAGAUACUGCAGCAGAACAUAUUGUAUUUCGUUGCAGACUGGGAUUUUUCCCCCCCUUGACACUGGGACUUCAAGUCUUCAUGAUGGUGGUAGAAAUAAUCAAUAAAAUUAUACAUCCGUUUUUAACCUUGGUGUCCCUGGAAUCGGAGCUAUAAACUAUUUCCGGGAUUUCAAUUCAGAAUGAAAAUUUCAGUUCGUGAUCAUUGCUCAUUUCAGCAGCAUGCUUUUUUUGUUUGCAUAGUUUUUUUAAAAGUUUGUCAUCAAGUUGUGAUUACUAAAAAUAAUAUCCUUACUUAGGCUUGUACAGUCAACACACUACAGAAAGUCCAGAGACUGUGCUUGCUAAAGUGACAUCCUUUAAUAUGAUUUAAGAAUAGCAGAUUGGCUAACAUGCACAGGACUGUAACAGGGUCAGUAUAUUCCAUUUGCUUUAAUAUAAGGCAAAUAGAAAAGUCAAGAGAUAGGCAAUAUAUUUGGGAAAAAUAACUUUGUUAAUGUUUCUGUUGGGGGUGAUCUCAUUUUUUUUUUUUUUUUUUAAGUCAAGGAAAAGAAUUAUAGUAAUAAAGAUUUCCUGUUUGGAGCUUCAUUCAGUAGCCAGCAAGAGCUUUCACUUUUUUGUCGUUUUUUGAAGUACCGGGAAUUGAACCAAGGAGUUCUCUACUAAUGAGAAACUACAUCCCCAACUCUUUUUAUUUUAUUUUGAGCAGGGUCUCCCUAAAGUUCCCAGACUGGCCCUGACUUUCCAUCUUCCUUCCUCCUGAGUUGCUGGGAUUACAAGCAUGUGUCACUGGCCCAGCUAGGGCAUUAUUUGCUUUAGAGUAAACUGCCUCUGAUAAUACUUUGUUAACUGCUGUUCUUUUUUUUUUUUUCCCCCAUUAAAUUGGUUCCUUGUGAGGUAUGGUGGUACACACCUCUAAGUCCAGAGACCUAGGAGGCUGAGCUAGAGGAUCACAAAUUGUAGUCUAGCCUGGCCAACUUAGCCAGACCUUGAAAAUAAAAAGGACUUCGAAGGUAGCUCCGUGGUAAAGUGCCCCUUGAUUUCAAUCCCAGUUCUGCUCCCCUGCUACAAAAAAGAAGUGGUUCUUUAAGAUAAAUCAUAUUUAUAAAAACUGUUGAGUAUUUCUAAGGAUAAAUAGCAUCUUAGAUUUGAUUUUACCAAGGGAAGUUGACUAAUACCAAAUUACUUUUAAUGUCAUUUUAGCUUUUCUAGGUGACCAAUUCAAUCAGAGACUUAAAGCAUUGAAUUUUUUUUUUUACAAUAGUGAAGAAGUAUAACUUCUACCAUUGGAACAGCCCCUACCCUUUUCCCAAUGAGAAACUACUUUAAAUUUUCCAAAAUCUUAUGAAAUACUAAAAUCAAGUUUGGAGUUACUGUUUGGGACAGAAAAUAUUAGUUGCUGU